GGGGCUAUACUUUCAGGAUCAUUUCUAUAGUAUGUUACUAGAGAAGUUUCUCUGAUCGUGUAGAGUACCAGAAACCACGAGGAGGAGGUGUAGUGUUUCUUCCUGAGCGUGAAGCCGGCUCUUGGUGUUGCUUUGCUAUCCUGAUGAUUAAAUGGUGUAUGCCUAAUUGCCUGGCUUCAUAGUGAGCAUGCAGAUGUAUUAGAGGAACAAGAUUAAUGGG
This 220-nucleotide small nucleolar RNA is filed under the name Chinchilla lanigera (long-tailed chinchilla). Its description in RNAcentral is "Small nucleolar RNA U3 (ENSCLAG00000020864.1)". It matches the Rfam family "Small nucleolar RNA U3". Rfam says of the family: Small nucleolar RNAs (snoRNAs) are involved in the processing and modification of rRNA in the nucleolus. There are two main classes of snoRNAs: the box C/D class, and the box H/ACA class. The record is from Rfam by way of RNAcentral. Lineage: Eukaryota; Metazoa; Chordata; Mammalia; Rodentia; Chinchillidae.